GGGAAGUUCUUCGGAACCUUU
RNAcentral lists this unclassified non-coding RNA (21 nucleotides) under synthetic construct. The record is from RNAcentral.